UACGGAGGAGGCAAGCGUUAUCCGGAAUUAUUGGGCGUAAAGCGUCUGUAGGUGGUUUAAUAAGCCAACUGUUAAAUCUUGAGGCUCAACCUCAAAAUCGCAGUCGAAACUAUUAGGCUAGAGUAUAGUAGGGGUAAAGGGAAUUUCCAGUGGAGCGGUGAAAUGCGUAGAGAUUGGAAAGAACACCGAUGGCGAAGGCACUUUACUGGGCUAUUACUAACACUCAGAGACGAAAGCUAGGGUAGCAAAUGGG
This 253-nucleotide ribosomal RNA is filed under the name uncultured bacterium. Its description in RNAcentral is "partial 16S ribosomal RNA". It matches the Rfam family "Bacterial small subunit ribosomal RNA", at positions 524 to 776 of the family's 1533-position model. The record is from RNAcentral.